UCAGCUUGUUGGUGGGGUAAUGGCCUACCAAGGCGAUGACGGGUAGCCGGCCUGAGAGGGCGACCGGCCACACUGGGACUGAGACACGGCCCAGACUCCUACGGGAGGCAGCAGUGGGGAAUAUUGCACAAUGGGCGAAAGCCUGAUGCAGCGACGCCGCGUGAGGGAUGACGGCCUUCGGGUUGUAAACCUCUUUCAGUAGGGAAGAAGCGAAAGUGACGGUACCUGCAGAAGAAGCGCCGGCUAACUACGUGCCAGCAGCCGCGGUAAUACGUAGGGCGCAAGCGUUGUCCGGAAUUAUUGGGCGUAAAGAGCUUGUAGGCGGUUUGUCACGUCUGGUGUGAAAUCCCAUCGCUCAACGGUGGGCUUGCAUCGGGUACGGGCAGGCUAGAGUGUGGUAGGGGAAACUGGAAUUCCUGGUGUAGCGGUGAAAUGCGCAGAUAUCAGGAGGAACACCGAUGGCGAAGGCAGGUUUCUGGGCCAUUACUGACGCUGAGAAGCGAAAGCAUGGGGAGCGAACAGGAUUAGAUACCCUGGUAGUCCAUGCCGUAAACGUUGGGCACUAGGUGUGGGGAACAUUCCACGUUUUCCG
RNAcentral lists this ribosomal RNA (592 nucleotides) under Cellulosimicrobium sp. Its description in RNAcentral is "bacterial SSU rRNA". It matches the Rfam family "Bacterial small subunit ribosomal RNA", at positions 241 to 843 of the family's 1533-position model. Lineage: Bacteria; Bacillati; Actinomycetota; Actinomycetes; Micrococcales; Promicromonosporaceae. The record is from RNAcentral.